UUGGAGGGCAAGUCUGGUGCCAGCAGCCGCGGUAAUUCCAGCUCCAAUAGCGUAUAUUAAAGUUGCUGCAGUUAAAAAGCUCGUAGUUGAAUUUCGGGAUCAAUACGUCGGUCGUGCUUCGGUACGUACUGGCGUAAUUGAUUUCUCCCUUCUGACGAACCAUGAUGUCAUUAACUUGGUGUCAUGGGAAAUCAGGACUGUUACUUUGAAAAAAUUAGAGUGUUUAAAGCAGGCUCACGCUUGAAUACAUUAGCAUGGAAUAAUGAAAUAGGACGUUCGAUCCUAUUUUGUUGGUUUUUAGGAUCAACGUAAUGAUUAAUAGGGAUAGUUGGGGGCAUUAGUAUUCAAUUGUCAGAGGUGAAAUUCUUGGAUUUAUUGAAGACUAACUACUGCGAAAGCAUUUGCCAAGGAUGUUUUCAUUAAUCAAGAACGAAAGUUAGGGGAUCGAAGACGAUCAGAUACCGUCGUAGUCUUAACCAUAAACUAUGCCGACUAGGGAUCGGAUGAUGUUAAUUUUUUAAUGACUCAUUCGGCGCCUUACGGGAAAC
Molecule: ribosomal RNA, 548 nt
Filed under: uncultured Glomeromycotina
Lineage: Eukaryota; Fungi; Glomeromycota
Description: SSU rRNA
Rfam family: Eukaryotic small subunit ribosomal RNA
Source: RNAcentral